Molecule: small nuclear RNA, 106 nt
Organism: Ictidomys tridecemlineatus (thirteen-lined ground squirrel)
Lineage: Eukaryota; Metazoa; Chordata; Mammalia; Rodentia; Sciuridae
Source: Ensembl
GUGGUCCCUUUAGUAGCACAAAUACUAAAAUUGGAAUGACACAAACAAGAGAGCAGGGCCCUUGAGAAAGGACUAUGGGCAAAUUUGUGGAGCAUUCCUUAUUAAG